This 82-nucleotide transfer RNA is filed under the name Ulvibacter antarcticus. It matches the Rfam family "tRNA". From Rfam's summary of the family: Transfer RNA (tRNA) molecules are approximately 80 nucleotides in length. Their secondary structure includes four short double-helical elements and three loops (D, anti-codon, and T loops). RNAcentral also lists the same sequence under 10 other names. Lineage: Bacteria; Pseudomonadati; Bacteroidota; Flavobacteriia; Flavobacteriales; Flavobacteriaceae. The record is from Rfam by way of RNAcentral.
GCGGGCGUGAUGGAAUUGGUAGACAUGCCAGACUUAGGAUCUGGUGCCGCAAGGUGUGGGAGUUCGAGUCUCCCCGCCCGCA